AACAUGAGCCCGCUAGACUAUUGAAAUGACCUGUUCUCUUGCAGUCCGGGAGCCAGCACCAUGAUCAAGUGGAUUAGACACAGAGUGAGGGGGCACGAAGCAGAGCAAAGAAAGGACAGAACAGUGCUAGGGGAUGGUUCUUUCUCUACCACAUGGUGGCUACGGUGGGCAUUCCUCGUCUAUAGCAUGUGCUGGAGAAGAUUGCAUCGGAGAAAAAAAUGUGCUGCUCCCUGGCUCCUGUCAGAGAUCCUAGUAUGAACUAUCACAAACUGAACGGAGAAAGAGAGCACUGCUGGGUCCUCUACCUCAAAGGCACAGGCAUAGGGUUCUUGCCAUGUCUGGUGAGGGAUGGGAACAUAUGGCUCCAGUGGCUCAGACAUGACUCCGUGGGGAGUGGUGUGCCAGGAAAAGGGCAUGUCCACAGAAGGACUAGCAGUCAAAGAGCCGUUCGCUCUGUGUUUCCCAGCCCUCUGUCCGCUCCUACAGUAACAACCCACUCUCAUAACUGAUGUUUGAUAGGAUGCCUUUUUCAAGUGCCCCAGGCAACUAGCCAGUCCUUCCUCCAUGCUUCCGAUCAAGGUAUACCUCUUCUACUACAGAGCUUACAACAAUGCAUUACAUGGGGCACCUGGGUGGUGCAGUCCUUACGCGUCUGCCUUUGGCUCAGGGCGUGAUCCCUGUGUUCUGGGAUCGAGUCCCACAUCAGGCUUCCCCACUGGGAGCCUGCUUCUUCCUCUCCCACUCCCCCUGCUUGUGUUCUCUCUCUCGCUGGCUGUCUCUGUCACAUAAAUAAAUAAAAUCUUUAAAAAAACA
RNAcentral lists this long non-coding RNA (813 nucleotides) under Ursus maritimus (polar bear). RNAcentral's name for it is "lncRNA (ENSUMAG00000019448.1)". Lineage: Eukaryota; Metazoa; Chordata; Mammalia; Carnivora; Ursidae. The record is from RNAcentral.